GGGGUUUUUUUAAACCACUGAGGGGCCUAUAUAUGACGUGUCGGUUUCGACCGACUAUGGCGAUAAAUGGCCUUCGUAAUAAGCCUAUCGGACCCGGGGGCAGUACCCGGCGCCUCCACCAUAAUUCCAGACCGCGGGUCCCCGCAUCUGGCAUUCUGUGGGGGCGAACUAGGAUCGACGAGGGUGUAAAAGUUGUGCUUUCGCUCGGCAUGGUUCCGCCGUUAUCGGGCCGUUCAAUAGUUGCAAACGACAACUAUGCGGAGGCGGCUCUCGCUGCGUAAGCAGCGCGAUAGCCUCAUUUUCAAGUCCUAGCCUGUCGCAGGGCUAGGCGCGGUUUCGGAGGGCACCGGGCAACAGAAGCCCUCCACU
Non-coding RNA from Methyloligella halotolerans, 369 nucleotides. It matches the Rfam family "Alphaproteobacteria transfer-messenger RNA". From Rfam's summary of the family: Bacterial tmRNA, also known as 10Sa RNA or SsrA, is named for its dual tRNA and mRNA-like properties. Its role is to liberate the mRNA from a stalled ribosome. To accomplish this part of the tmRNA is used as a reading frame that ends in a translation stop signal. The record is from Rfam. Lineage: Bacteria; Pseudomonadati; Pseudomonadota; Alphaproteobacteria; Hyphomicrobiales; Hyphomicrobiaceae.